RNAcentral lists this ribosomal RNA (144 nucleotides) under uncultured eukaryote. Its description in RNAcentral is "partial 18S ribosomal RNA". The record is from RNAcentral.
UACCCGACUGAAGGACAACGCCGCCUUCGAGGUGGUCAAGGAGUGCCAACUCCCAGCGAACCGCAACAUCCUCGCCGAUCAACUCAUCCGCCUCGCCGGCGUCCGCGCCCAAGCCGACUACCCCGAACUAUUACGCCGCAUCGU